GAAUGUUAUCACGGGAGACACACGGCGGGUGCUAACGUCCGUCGUGAAGAGGGAAACAACCCAGACCGCCAGCUAAGGUCCCAAAGUCAUGGUUAAGUGGGAAACGAUGUGGGAAGGCCCAGACAGCCAGGAUGUUGGCUUAGAAGCAGCCAUCAUUUAAAGAAAGCGUAAUAGCUCACUGGUCGAGUCGGCCUGCGCGGAAGAUGUAACGGGGCUAAACCAUGCACCGAAGCUGCGGCAGCGACGCUUAUGCGUUGUUGGGUAGGGGAGCGUUCUGUAAGCCUGCGAAGGUGGCCUGUGAGGGUUGCUGGAGGUAUCAGAAGUGCGAAUGCUGACAUAAGUAACGAUAAAGCGGGUGAAAAGCCCGCUCGCCGGAAGACCAAGGGUUCCUGUCCAACGUUAAUCGGGGCAGGGUGAGUCGACCCCUAAGGCGAGGCCGAAAGGCGUAGUCGAUGGGAAACGGGUUAAUAUUCCCGUACUUGGUGUUACUGCGAAGGGGGGACGGAGAAGGCUAUGUUGGCCGGGCGACGGUUGUCCCGGUUUAAGCGUGUAGGUGUGUGUUCCAGGUAAAUCCGGUUCACUUUAACACUGAGGCGUGACGACGAGGCACUACGGUGCUGAAGCAACAAAUGCCCUGCUUCCAGGAAAAGCCUCUAAGCAUCAGGUAACAUCAAAUCGUACCCCAAACCGACACAGGUGGU
Molecule: ribosomal RNA, 701 nt
Filed under: Salmonella enterica
Lineage: Bacteria; Pseudomonadati; Pseudomonadota; Gammaproteobacteria; Enterobacterales; Enterobacteriaceae
Description: partial 23S ribosomal RNA
Rfam family: Bacterial large subunit ribosomal RNA
Source: RNAcentral